RNAcentral lists this ribosomal RNA (656 nucleotides) under Mycobacterium sp. AMi8. Its description in RNAcentral is "bacterial SSU rRNA". It matches the Rfam family "Bacterial small subunit ribosomal RNA", at positions 186 to 855 of the family's 1533-position model. Lineage: Bacteria; Bacillati; Actinomycetota; Actinomycetes; Mycobacteriales; Mycobacteriaceae. The record is from RNAcentral.
UUCAUGGGUUGUGGUGGAAAGCUUUUGCGGUGUGGGAUGGGCCCGCGGCCUAUCAGCUUGUUGGUGGGGUAAUGGCCUACCAAGGCGACGACGGGUAGCCGGCCUGAGAGGGUGACCGGCCACACUGGGACUGAGAUACGGCCCAGACUCCUACGGGAGGCAGCAGUGGGGAAUAUUGCACAAUGGGCGCAAGCCUGAUGCAGCGACGCCGCGUGGGGGAUGACGGCCUUCGGGUUGUAAACCUCUUUCAGCACAGACGAAGCGUGAGUGACGGUAUGUGCAGAAGAAGCACCGGCCAACUACGUGCCAGCAGCCGCGGUAAUACGUAGGGUGCGAGCGUUGUCCGGAAUUACUGGGCGUAAAGAGCUCGUAGGUGGUUUGUCGCGUUGUUCGUGAAAACUCACAGCUUAACUGUGGGCGUGCGGGCGAUACGGGCAGACUGGAGUACUGCAGGGGAGACUGGAAUUCCUGGUGUAGCGGUGGAAUGCGCAGAUAUCAGGAGGAACACCGGUGGCGAAGGCGGGUCUCUGGGCAGUAACUGACGCUGAGGAGCGAAAGCGUGGGGAGCGAACAGGAUUAGAUACCCUGGUAGUCCACGCCGUAAACGGUGGGUACUAGGUGUGGGUUUCCUUCCUUGGGAUCCGUGCCGUAGCUAA